RNAcentral lists this ribosomal RNA (253 nucleotides) under uncultured bacterium. Its description in RNAcentral is "partial 16S ribosomal RNA". It matches the Rfam family "Bacterial small subunit ribosomal RNA", at positions 524 to 776 of the family's 1533-position model. The record is from RNAcentral.
UACGUAGGGUGCGAGCGUUGUCCGGAAUUACUGGGCGUAAAGAGCUCGUAGGUGGUUUGUCGCGUUGUCCGUGAAAACUCACAACUCAAUUGUGGGCGUGCGGGCGAUACGGGCAGACUGGAGUACUGCAGGGGAGACUGGAAUUCCUGGUGUAGCGGUGGAAUGCGCAGAUAUCAGGAGGAACACCGGUGGCGAAGGCGGGUCUCUGGGACGGUACUGACGCUGAGACGCGAAAGCGUGGGGAGCGAACAGG